UACGGAGGAUGCAAGCGUUAUCCGGAUUUAUUGGGUUUAAAGGGUGCGCAGGCGGGAGAUUAAGUCGGCGGUGAAAUUUUGCAGCUCAACUGUAAAAGUGCCUUCGAAACUGGUUUCCUUGAGUGUAGAUGAAGUAGGCGGAAUUUGUGGUGUAGCGGUGAAAUGCUUAGAGAUCACACAGAAUAUCGAUUGCGAAGGCAGCUCACAAAGCCAAGAUUGACGCUGAGGCACGAAAGUGUGGGGAUCAAACAGGAUUAGAUA
RNAcentral lists this ribosomal RNA (261 nucleotides) under uncultured prokaryote. Its description in RNAcentral is "partial 16S ribosomal RNA". It matches the Rfam family "Bacterial small subunit ribosomal RNA", at positions 524 to 784 of the family's 1533-position model. The record is from RNAcentral.